RNAcentral lists this ribosomal RNA (154 nucleotides) under Pleurotus tuoliensis. Its description in RNAcentral is "5.8S ribosomal RNA". It matches the Rfam family "5.8S ribosomal RNA". Rfam says of the family: 5.8S ribosomal RNA (5.8S rRNA) is a component of the large subunit of the eukaryotic ribosome. The record is from RNAcentral. Lineage: Eukaryota; Fungi; Basidiomycota; Agaricomycetes; Agaricales; Pleurotaceae.
CAACUUUCAACAACGGAUCUCUUGGCUCUCGCAUCGAUGAAGAACGCAGCGAAAUGCGAUAAGUAAUGUGAAUUGCAGAAUUCAGUGAAUCAUCGAAUCUUUGAACGCACCUUGCGCCCCUUGGUAUYCCGAGGGGCAUGCCUGUUUGAGUGUC